ACGCUCGACACCUACGGGGGGCAGCAGUGGGGAAUAUUGCACAAUGGGGGAAACCCUGAUGCAGCGACGCCGCGUGAGCGAAGAAGUAUCUCGGUAUGUAAAGCUCUAUCAGCAGGGAAGAAGAUGACGGUACCUGACUAAGAAGCACCGGCUAAAUACGUGCCAGCAGUCGCGGUAAUCUGAGCGGGCUGGCAAGGC
RNAcentral lists this ribosomal RNA (198 nucleotides) under uncultured bacterium. RNAcentral's name for it is "partial 16S ribosomal RNA". It matches the Rfam family "Bacterial small subunit ribosomal RNA", at positions 328 to 539 of the family's 1533-position model. The record is from RNAcentral.